Molecule: ribosomal RNA, 440 nt
Filed under: uncultured bacterium
Lineage: Bacteria
Description: partial 16S ribosomal RNA
Rfam family: Bacterial small subunit ribosomal RNA
Source: RNAcentral
CCUACGGGCGGCAGCAGUGGGGAAUAUUGCACAAUGGCGGAAACCCUGAUGCAGCGACGCCGCGUGAGUGAAGAAGUAAUUCGUUAUGUAAAGCUCUAUCAGCAGGGAAGAAAAUGACGGUACCUGAGUAAGAAGCCCCGGCUAACUACGUGCCAGCAGCCGCGGUAAUACGUAGGGGGCAAGCGUUAUCCGGAUUUACUGGGUGUAAAGGGAGCGUAGACGGCAGUGCAAGUCUGAAGUGAAAGCCCGUGGCUUAACCGCGGAACGGCUUUGGAAACUGUGGAACUGGAGUGCUGGAGAGGCAAGCGGAAUUGCUAGGGUAGCGGUGAAAUGCGUAGAUAUUAGGAGGAACACCAGUGGCGAAGGCGGCUUGCUGGACAGUAACUGACGUUGAGGCUCGAAAGCGUGGGGAGCAAACAGGAUUAGAUACCCUAGUAGUC